AACGAGAAGCCCGUGCACCACAACUAGAGAGAAGCGCACGCAGCAACGAAGACCCAGCACGGCCAAAAAUAAAUAAAUAAAAUUAUUUUAAAAAUAUAUACAUAUAUUUAUCUUAUAAUGGUCUUGUUGUUUACAACACUAUCCUGGUGUGACUAGAAUAUGGCCAGGUCUCCAGGAGCUUGCGCUGGAUCUAAAGCAGCCCACACUCCUCCCAGUCACGGCAAAAGACAGACUGUCCAGAAGACGCAUGAGACUUGUCAAACGUUUUAUAGAUACCUUCUGAUGGCUGCAUAAUUCCAUUAAUACACCUAACUGUUGAGUUUAUGAAAGGAAAAAUAACCAGGAGGCAAAAACCAGGAAAAGGAACAUAAAUGGAAGAAAAAAAAAGAAUCUCAAGAACUGAGUAUACUAAUAACUCUUGACAAGAAAAAUCUGACUCUGGGAGGUGUCCUGACUCAGUAUUUCAGUAAGCUAACUCUGGACACAAUUCCAGAUGACACCACCCUUAUGGCAGAAAGUGAAGAGGAACUAAAGAGCCUCUUGAUGAAAGUGAAAGAGGAGAGUGAAAAAGUUGGCUUAAAACUCAACAUUCAGAAAAUGAAGAUCAUGGC
This is a long non-coding RNA of Bubalus bubalis (water buffalo), 611 nucleotides long. RefSeq lists it as uncharacterized. NCBI's taxonomy places the organism in Eukaryota, Metazoa, Chordata, Mammalia, Artiodactyla, Bovidae. The transcript has 3 exons. The record is from RefSeq and is a predicted model, not a curated record.